Molecule: ribosomal RNA, 406 nt
Filed under: uncultured bacterium
Lineage: Bacteria
Description: partial 16S ribosomal RNA
Rfam family: Bacterial small subunit ribosomal RNA
Source: RNAcentral
AUUGAACGCUGGCGGCAGGCCUAACACAUGCAAGUCGAACGAGUGGCGGACGGGUGAGUAAUGUCUGGGAAACUGCCUGAUGGAGGGGGAUAACUUCUGGAAACGGUAGCUAAUACCGCAUACCAUCGGAUGUGCCCAGAUGGGAUUAGCUAGUAGGUGGGGUAAAGGCUCACCUAGGCGACGAUCCCUAGCUGGUCUGAGAGGAUGACCGUCAAUACUGGAACUGAAACACGGUCCAGACUCCGACGGGAGGCAGAAGUGGGGAAUAUUGGACAAUGAGCGCAAUCCGGAUGCAGCCAUGCCGCGGGGAUGAAGAAGGCCUUCGGGUUGUAAAGUACUGUCAGCGGGGAGGCGGUACCCGCAGAAGAAGCACCGGCUAACUCCGUGCCAGCAGCCGCGGUAAUAC